This is a long non-coding RNA of Pseudophryne corroboree (corroboree frog), 1475 nucleotides long. RefSeq lists it as uncharacterized. The transcript is spliced from 5 exons. Lineage: Eukaryota; Metazoa; Chordata; Amphibia; Anura; Myobatrachidae. The record is from RefSeq and is a predicted model, not a curated record.
CCCAGGCCCCGCCUCCUAAAGCCCGACACUCUCACCUGUCAGUGAGAUCAGCAGGCAGCAGCCACAGACCCGUGCAGGCAGUGCACUGGCCAGCCCUCCCCUCUCCUCCAGCGUCCACUCUCUCCUCACUCCGGGUCCUGACUGAGCCUGACACACACAAGCUCCGCCCCCAGACUGUAACUACACGAGCAUGUAGUUGCUGCUGAUCUGAUGUUGCUGCAUGAUGUCAGGGAGACAUGUACUAAGCAGUGAUAAAAGUGAAGAAGUGAGCCAGUGAAGAAGUUGCCCAUGUCAACCAAUUCCAUACGUAUUAAAAUAACAGAAACGUAUUGAAUAAAAAGAGAACUCAUUGCCUUUCUGCACAUAUCGCUGAAAGGAUGAGAAAGUCGCAUUGCAGUUGUAGAGCAAAGGCAGUAACAGUGGGCCAGAGAGAUGCUGUGCUGCGACUUCAACCACAGAGGAAUUCAUUUGAAAUAUGUAUAAAGUUGCAGAUGAAGCACUAUUGAACAAGAUACCCAUUGUCCUGAGGAUUCCAGGAUUAGAGAGGAGUAGCGGAUCCAAAUAUAUAUACUGUGGUCCUCGUGCUUUUUCAUAAACUGGAUUGAUGAGUACUAACUCUUUUUUGGACUGAGAAUUCAGUGUUUUAUACUGAAUGUUUGGUACAGAGGUAUGCUGAACAGAGCACCCCUAGAUUAACAGAGCACUCCUGGUUGACACAGUAGCCCCUGUAUGAACGGACACAGCACAGACAGAGCACCUCUCGUGGUCACAGCAGCACCCCUAGUCAGACACAGUAGGCACAGCCCCCCAGAUGGACAACAGAUCAGCACCCCUGGUUGGAAACAGCAGCCUCAGCCUCUUGAUGGACAACACUGCAGCAUCCCUGGAUGGAGAAUACAGCAGCUCUUAAUGGACACUGCAUGGACACAUCUGCUCACUAUAAGCUCCUCAGCCAGGAGUAAAGAUGGCAGGAUCACCAGGGACGUUUAUAGAAUUCAAAAUCUGCGAGAAUCUGACAGAGGGAGGAUGACGUUUUCCUAAUUUUGUGACCCAAGUAGUCAGGCGGGAUAACCCAAGCUGUACUCAAAUCCCGAUCUGGAUCUGGAAGUUCGAAUGGGUCCAGUUCCCACUCAUCUCUGUUCACAAUACACAACCCCCCUUCCCCUUACUCUAGCUCUACUUACAUUUCAAAUCAGGAGCCAGAGACAGGUUGGGUUAAGAAUCUUACUAAUUUGUAAGUUUGUGUAAAUGACUGCCAAAUGUAAAAAGAAAAUCCAGAAUGCAUGUGAUUGGCUUUCAACUGUAAGUAUGAUGUAAGGCUGAUCUGAGCAUGUUCCCUGCAUACUGCAUAGGAUAUAAGUUCUCGAAAAUAAGGUUUGAGAAAAACAGGUCAUGUGCAGUCAAUCUGCACUUUCCCUCAGACUAUGGGGGUACUUCAGACUGCAUCACUGCAGCGGCAGCUAUCGCAGUCUGAA